RNAcentral lists this ribosomal RNA (253 nucleotides) under uncultured bacterium. RNAcentral's name for it is "partial 16S ribosomal RNA". It matches the Rfam family "Bacterial small subunit ribosomal RNA", at positions 524 to 776 of the family's 1533-position model. The record is from RNAcentral.
GACAGAGGGUGCGAACGUUGCUCGGAAUUACUGGGCGUAAAGCGCGUGUAGGUGGGUCCGCAAGUCGGGCGUGAAAUCCCUGGGCUCAACCCGGGAACUGCGCUCGAAACUGCAGAUCUUGAGUGCCGGAGAGGGUGGCGGAAUUCCUGGUGUAGAGGUGAAAUUCGUAGAUAUCAGGAGGAACACCGGUGGCGAAGGCGGCCACCUGGACGGCUACUGACACUGAGACGCGAAAGCGUGGGGAGCAAACAGG